UACAGAGGGUGCAAGCGUUGCUCGGAUUUACUGGGCGUAAAGCGUAAGCAGACGGUGAGAAGGGUCGGAUGUGAAAGCCCCGGGCUCAACCCUGGAACUGCAUCCGAAACCAUCUCGCUAGAGUAUGAGAGAGGGAAGCAGAAUUCCUGGUGUAGAGGUGAAAUUCGUAGAUAUCAGGAGGAAUACCUGCGGCGAAGGCGGCUUCCUGGCUCAUUACUGACGUUCAGGUACGAAAGCGUGGGUAGCAAACAGG
This 253-nucleotide ribosomal RNA is filed under the name uncultured bacterium. Its description in RNAcentral is "partial 16S ribosomal RNA". It matches the Rfam family "Bacterial small subunit ribosomal RNA", at positions 524 to 776 of the family's 1533-position model. The record is from RNAcentral.